AGUGAACGCUGGCGGUAGGCCUAACACAUGCAAGUCGAACGGCAGCACAGUAAGAGCUUGCUCUUACGGGUGGCGAGUGGCGGACGGGUGAGGAAUACAUCGGAACCUACUUUUUCGUGGGGGAUAACGUAGGGAAACUUACGCUAAUACCGCAUACGACCUACGGGUGAAAGCAGGGGAUCUUCGGACCUUGCGGGAUUGAAUGAGCCGAUGUCGGAUUAGCUAGUUGGCGGGGUAAAGGCCUACCAAGGCGCGGAUCGGUAGCUGGUCUGAGAGGAUGGUCGCCGGCACUGGAAGUGGGACACGGUCCAGGCUCCUACGGGAGGCACCAGUGUGGAAUAUGGGACAGUAGGCGCAAGCCUGAUCCAACGAUACCACGUGUGUGGAAGAGGCCUUGGGGUUGUAAAGCCCUUUUGUUGGGAGAGAAAAGCAGCAGGUUGAUACCCCGCUGUUCUGACGGUACCCAGAGAAUAAGCACCGGCUAACUUCGUG
This 492-nucleotide ribosomal RNA is filed under the name uncultured bacterium. Its description in RNAcentral is "partial 16S ribosomal RNA". It matches the Rfam family "Bacterial small subunit ribosomal RNA", at positions 29 to 507 of the family's 1533-position model. The record is from RNAcentral.